RNAcentral lists this ribosomal RNA (140 nucleotides) under uncultured Glomus. RNAcentral describes it as "partial 5.8S ribosomal RNA". It matches the Rfam family "5.8S ribosomal RNA". Rfam says of the family: 5.8S ribosomal RNA (5.8S rRNA) is a component of the large subunit of the eukaryotic ribosome. It is transcribed by RNA polymerase I as part of the 45S precursor that also contains 18S and 28S rRNA. The record is from RNAcentral. Lineage: Eukaryota; Fungi; Glomeromycota; Glomeromycetes; Glomerales; Glomeraceae.
UCACUUUCAACAACGGAUCUCUUGGCUCUCGCAUCGAUGAAGAACGUAGCGAAGUGCGAUAAGUAAUGUGUAUUGCAGAAUCCGUGAGUCAUCGAAUCUUUGACGCAAAUGCACUCUCUGGGAUUCCGGGAAUGCUGUUU